Molecule: unclassified non-coding RNA, 370 nt
Filed under: Hevea brasiliensis (rubber tree)
Lineage: Eukaryota; Viridiplantae; Streptophyta; Magnoliopsida; Malpighiales; Euphorbiaceae
Source: RNAcentral
UACUACUCUUCCCCACCCAUGCAAGGAAUAGCACUUCUAUUCAUUCUAUAUCUCUUCUCACUCUUGCUCUUUCACCGUUGAAAUGGACAUAUUUCCAUCUGCUUUGAUACUUUUUGAGAACCAGUUUUUGGUUAUCUUCUUGGCCCAACAUCUGGAAGGCUCUUGCAACUCUUCUAACUGUAUCUUCAUCUGGUUUUACCCCCAACUCCUCCAUGUCAGCAAACACCUCAACUAUCUUGUCUGGCACAUGAUGAUGAUCAUAUAAUGAAAUCAUCCUGGAGAAGAGCCGUUUCGAAACAGACCGUGUGCUUGUAUGCAAAAUCAUAUUCCAUAACGUUUCUGCUUCAUCUACCCUGUUGUCCAUAUCAAA